Molecule: non-coding RNA, 179 nt
Filed under: bovine gut metagenome
Description: Lysine riboswitch
Rfam family: Lysine riboswitch aptamer
About the family: Riboswitches are metabolite binding domains within certain messenger RNAs that serve as precision sensors for their corresponding targets. Allosteric rearrangement of mRNA structure is mediated by ligand binding, and this results in modulation of gene expression. This family includes riboswitches that sense lysine in a number of genes involved in lysine metabolism, including lysC.
Source: RNAcentral
CGAUAGAGGCGCGGCCGUCAUCAGUAGCUCCCGGCGGGGCAGGAAUGCCCCGGGCGACAGGAAUCGCAGGGAGGGAAAGGGAUCGCCGCCGAAGGCUCCUCCGGUUUCCUGGCCGGGCGGCGCCUGGGCCGUCGGAGAACAUCCGCCGGACUGUCGUAGGCAACUACGGAGCGCUGUCA